Molecule: ribosomal RNA, 253 nt
Filed under: uncultured bacterium
Lineage: Bacteria
Description: partial 16S ribosomal RNA
Rfam family: Bacterial small subunit ribosomal RNA
Source: RNAcentral
UACGUAGGGGGCAAGCGUUGUCCGGAAUUAUUGGGCGUAAAGAGCGCGUAGGCGGUCCGAUAAGUCGGCUGUGAAAGUCCAGGGCUCAACCCUGGAAAGCCGGCCGAUACUGUCGGACUAGAGUCCGGAAGAGGCAAGUGGAAUUCCCGGUGUAGCGGUGAAAUGCGCAGAUAUCGGGAGGAACACCAAUUGCGAAGGCAGCUUGCUGGGACGGUACUGACGCUGGGGCGCGAAAGCGUGGGGAGCAAACAGG